RNAcentral lists this ribosomal RNA (102 nucleotides) under uncultured bacterium. RNAcentral describes it as "partial 16S ribosomal RNA". The record is from RNAcentral.
AAGGCGUUCGGUUGUAAGCUCUUCAGACGGAAAGAAACGGUUACGGCUAAUACCCGUGACUAAUGACGGUACCGUCAGAAGAAGCACCGGCUAACUACGUGC